RNAcentral lists this ribosomal RNA (593 nucleotides) under uncultured bacterium. RNAcentral describes it as "bacterial SSU rRNA". It matches the Rfam family "Bacterial small subunit ribosomal RNA", at positions 338 to 961 of the family's 1533-position model. The record is from RNAcentral.
CCUACGGGAGGCAGCAGUGGGGAAUCUUGCGCAAUGGGCGAAAGCCUGACGCAGCAACGCCGCGUGCGGGAAGAAGGCUUUCGGGCUGUAAACCGCUUUCAGCAGGAACGAAAAUGACGGUACCUGCAGAAGAAGGAGCGGCCAACUAUGUGCCAGCAGCCGCGGUGAUACAUAGGCUUCAAGCGUUGUCCGGAUUUAUUGGGCGUAAAGAGUUCGUAGGCGGUCGAGUAAGUCGGGUGUGAAAAUUCUGGGCUCAACCCAGAGACGCCACCCGAUACUGCUUGACUUGAGUUCGAUAGGGGAGUGGGGAAUUCCUAGUGUAGCGGUGAAAUGCGCAGAUAUUAGGAGGAACACCGGUGGCGAAGGCGCCACUCUGGAUCGAUACUGACGCUGAGGAACGAAAGCAUGGGUAGCAAACAGGAUUAGAUACCCUGGUAGUCCAUGCCGUAAACGGUGGACACUAGGUGUGGGUUUCUAUUAACGAAAUCCGCGCCGUCGCUAACGCAUUAAGUGCCCCGCCUGGGGAGUCGGUGCAAGACUAAACUCGAAAGUGUAAGUGNGUUGAGUAGNGNGACGACGACGACGAGGAGGAG